RNAcentral lists this unclassified non-coding RNA (1165 nucleotides) under Hevea brasiliensis (rubber tree). Lineage: Eukaryota; Viridiplantae; Streptophyta; Magnoliopsida; Malpighiales; Euphorbiaceae. The record is from RNAcentral.
AUAUCCUGAUUAAGCACUUCGAUAAGCGUGUAAUGGGCUGAUCUUAUUUUCAUCUUCGUCAACUUACUGAAUAAGGAUAACAUACGCUUAUCGAAGUGCUUAAUCAGGAUAUCAACUGAUGUCAAAGUUUUGGCAGGCAAAAUGGUUUUCGUAGGGCAAUCCUAAAUUAAAGUCACGAGUUCUGCCCACAAACAGAAAACCAAUUUUCUCGCUUUAUAUUUUGACAUAGGCCAAACAAUAUUAUUAUCUUGAUGCAUCCCUGCUAAUACUAUGAAUUGCAUUAGUUUACACAUUCGUCCGACUCCCCAAGAGAGGGGUACUCUGCUGUUCACUAAUUUCUUUCGCUUCAAUUUGUUCUUCUUCCUUGGAUUGUGCCCACAUUACUCCAUAGAAACCCGCAACGAUUAUGAUCGCCCCUAUAAUGCUUCCAACAUGAAGUGUAUCGCCCAGAAAGAUGACACUCAAAAAGGCAGCAAUGGCUAUCCCUAAGGGUUUGAACAUGGCCACAAAAACAGGCCCUUUCUUAUGUAUGCACCAUGUUGCUACACUGUAUGUCACCACAUUUCCAAACACAGCUGAGUAGAUGACAGAUACGAGCUCAAUAUCAGGCUUCAGUUUCCAAGCAUUUGGGUUCUUCUCUGCAAUCAAGGCAACUAUUGCACAUUGUAUAGUUCCAAAUAGGCAAUAGAAGGAGACUAUGGUCAUCUCUGAAGGGUACCCUCUCAGAAUUGCUGCCUGAAAAAUAGUAAAUACUGACAGAGAUAAACUAGCAGUUGCAAAGAAUAAUCCACCUAUGACCCAGGAAUUUUUUGCUGUCAAUACAGGUUCCGGAUGUGAUGGCAAGGUUGUGACACCUAUUGGAGGACCUUCGUAAAAGAUUAUAAUCAUUGCUCCUGAAAUUGAUACUAGUGUGCCCAAAAUUUUGAUCUGGCUUCUUGAGCUUCUCAAAUCUAACUUCUCCAUCCUGAACAUAACUGCAAGCAAGAAGGUAAAGGCAGGGAAUAAUUGGCCUAUAGCAGAAGCAAGGGUAGGAGAACUGUAGUUUACACCAGUGAACACACAAUUCUGCAUCAUGGUAAUUCCAACAAGGCUGAGGAGGAAGAAUUUGCAGAGGAGGGAGUAGGUAAGUGGUGGUCUCUUUGUCCUGUUGAAGAAGAAAGAAAAA